Molecule: transfer RNA, 77 nt
Filed under: Chloroflexota bacterium
Lineage: Bacteria; Bacillati; Chloroflexota
Description: Chloroflexi bacterium (freshwater metagenome) tRNA-Pro
Rfam family: tRNA
About the family: Transfer RNA (tRNA) molecules are approximately 80 nucleotides in length. Their secondary structure includes four short double-helical elements and three loops (D, anti-codon, and T loops).
Source: RNAcentral
CGGGACGUAGCGCAGCCCGGUAGCGCGCCACGAUCGGGCCGUGGAGGCCCCGAGUUCGAAUCUCGGCGUCCCGACCA